UAGGGAAUCUUCCGCAAUGGACGAAAGUCUGACGGAGCAACGCCGCGUGAGCGAAGAAGGCCUUCGGGUCGUAAAGCUCUGUUGUUAGGGAAGAACAAGUAUCGGAGUAACUGCCGGUACCUUGACGGUACCUAACCAGAAAGCCACGGCUAACUACGUGCCAGCAGCCGCGGUAAUACGUAGGUGGCAAGCGUUGUCCGGAAUUAUUGGGCGUAAAGCGCGCGCAGGCGGUCCUUUAAGUCUGAUGUGAAAGCCCACGGCUCAACCGUGGAGGGUCAUUGGAAACUGGGGGACUUGAGUGCAGAAGAGGAGAGUGGAAUUCCACGUGUAGCGGUGAAAUGCGUAGAGAUGUGGAGGAACACCAGUGGCGAAGGCGACUCUCUGGUCUGUAACUGACGCUGAGGCGCGAAAGCGUGGGGAGCAAACAGGAUUAGAUACCCUGGUAGUCCACGCCGUAAACGAUGAGUGCUAAGUGUUAGAGGGUUU
This 486-nucleotide ribosomal RNA is filed under the name uncultured Bacillota bacterium. RNAcentral describes it as "bacterial SSU rRNA". It matches the Rfam family "Bacterial small subunit ribosomal RNA", at positions 355 to 833 of the family's 1533-position model. The record is from RNAcentral. Lineage: Bacteria; Bacillati; Bacillota.